Molecule: long non-coding RNA, 1044 nt
Organism: Onychostoma macrolepis
Lineage: Eukaryota; Metazoa; Chordata; Actinopteri; Cypriniformes; Cyprinidae
Exons: 4
Source: RefSeq, a predicted model, not a curated record
GCGAGCGUGUAUGGCGUCUGGCUGUUGGAACCUCACUGUGACUCUUCAGAUAAGACCAAAUAUUAAAUUGUAAGAAGGGCUGCUUAUAAGAGCAUACAGUACAUCUGAAACUGCUGAGGCUGGGAAGGUUUCCGACCAGAUCAGCUGCUAUAGAAGACAAACUGAGUGCAGAGACAAGCAAAGGAAUAGCACUUGUGCAAAAUAUUGUAUGCCUGAACGACUAGGCUGUGCCCAGGUCUCCGGAACCUGCGACGACGCUCAGCUCCAUCAGCCCUUAGUAUCCGGCUUCAGCUCCACCACCAUCCCUACAUCAUCUCCUCGUCCACCUCCAAAACCCCCCACUGUUGCUUGAACUUUAUCAUCUUCAGUCUUUGCACACACAUCUAUUCACUUCUGCACUUUGUUUUUCAGUAUUUUUUUAUUUUUUUUUCUUUAGAAAAUUGCAUUGUAAUUUGUAUUUAUUCAUUGAUGUAAAAUUAUGUACUUUUCAGUAAUACAGGUAUAACUGAAAUGUUCUACAAACAGAUAAGAUAGCUCUGCCAUAGCUGUCAGUCCUCUGUCAUGUGUGUCAUGUGUUCCCGCCUCUUGUUUCCAUAUUUUGUCAUGUUCCUGUCCUUGUUAAGAGUGAUUAUUAGUUAAGUCUUGUCCAGCCGUGUUUCGUCUAAUUAUCAGUAAUUGUCAUGUGUAUUUAGUUCCUGCCUGUUUAGUUAGUUUUGGUCUGGUCUACUCGUUAUUCCCCGGUGUUCCUGUCUGUGUGAACCUUGCCUUGUCUUGCCCUGUCCUGAUGUCACUAUUAAAGACUGUUAUUUUGAAGUUCUCCUCGUUCCUCCCUGCUGUGUGCACCGUGACAAUAGCAUUUCAGUCUUUUUUUCAUUUAUUAUAAUGUUUUUUGUAUAAUGUUUUAAAAUGUACUUGAGUAUGUUGUUAAUAGUAUAUUUAAUAGUAUGUUUUUUGUUUUUCACCAAAGUAUAUAUGCUUCUGUACUUUUUAAAUGUACUUUAUGAAUAUUUGUAAUGUACACAAUAUAUAAUACAUUAAAGUUUU